AUUGAACGCUGGCGGCAUGCUUUACACAUGCAAGUCGAACGGUAACAGGUUAAGCUGACGAGUGGCGAACGGGUGAGUAAUGCAUCGGAACGUGCCCGGUCGUGGGGGAUAACACUUCGAAAGAAGUGCUAAUACCGCAUACGAUCUGAGGAUGAAAGCGGGGGACCGUAAGGCCUCGCGCGAUCGGCGCGGCCGAUGUCAGAUUAGGUAGUUGGUGGGGUAAAGGCCCACCAAGCCGACGAUCUGUAGCUGGUCUGAGAGGACGACCCGCCACACUGGGACUGAGACACGGCCCAGACUCCUACGGGAGGCAGCAGUGGGGAAUUUUGGACGAUGGGCGCAAGCCUGAUCCAGCAAUGCCGCGUGCAGGAAGAAGGCCUUCGGGUUGUAAACUGCUUUUGUACGGAGCGAAAAGGCUCUCUCUAAUACAGGGGGCUGAUGACGGUACCGUAAGAAUAAGCACCGGCUAACUACGUGCCAGCCGCCGCGGUAA
This 493-nucleotide ribosomal RNA is filed under the name uncultured bacterium. RNAcentral's name for it is "partial 16S ribosomal RNA". It matches the Rfam family "Bacterial small subunit ribosomal RNA", at positions 30 to 523 of the family's 1533-position model. The record is from RNAcentral.